RNAcentral lists this ribosomal RNA (253 nucleotides) under uncultured bacterium. RNAcentral's name for it is "partial 16S ribosomal RNA". It matches the Rfam family "Bacterial small subunit ribosomal RNA", at positions 524 to 776 of the family's 1533-position model. The record is from RNAcentral.
UACGUAGGUGGCAAGCGUUGUCCGGAUUUACUGGGCGUAAAGAGCGCGCAGGCGGUCGGAUAAGUCGAAUGUGAAAGCCCCCGGCUCAACCUCGAGACGUCGAUGGAAACCGUCUGGCUAGAGUCCGGAAGAGGAGAGUGGAAUUCCUGGUGUAACGGUGAAAUGCGCAGAUAUCAGGAAGAACACUUAUGGCGAAGGCAGCUCUCUGGGACGGUACUGACGCUGAGACGCGAAAGCGUGGGGAGCGAACAGG